This 353-nucleotide ribosomal RNA is filed under the name uncultured bacterium. RNAcentral describes it as "bacterial SSU rRNA". It matches the Rfam family "Bacterial small subunit ribosomal RNA", at positions 8 to 350 of the family's 1533-position model. The record is from RNAcentral.
AGAGUUUGAUCCUGGCUCAGGAUGAACGCUAGCUACAGGCUUAACACAUGCAAGUCGAGGGGAAACGACAUCGAAAGCUUGCUUUUGAUGGGCGUCGACCGGCGCACGGGUGAGUAACGCGUAUCCAACCUGCCCAUCACUUGGGGAUAACCUUGUGAAAGUAAGACUAAUACCCAAUGACGUCUCUAGAAGACAUCUGAAAGAGAUUAAAGAUUUAUCGGUGAUGGAUGGGGAUGCGUCUGAUUAGCUUGUUGGCGGGGUAACGGCCACAAGGCGACGAUCAGUAGGGGUUCUGAGAGGAACGGUCCCCCANAUUGGAACUGAGACACGGUCCAAACUCCGUACGGGAGGCA